Molecule: ribosomal RNA, 426 nt
Filed under: uncultured bacterium
Lineage: Bacteria
Description: bacterial SSU rRNA
Rfam family: Bacterial small subunit ribosomal RNA
Source: RNAcentral
GUGAGGAAUUUUCCGCAAUGGGCGAAAGCCUGACGGAGCAAUGCCGCGUGAAGGAUGAAGGCCUAUGGGUUGUAAACUUCUUUUCUCAGAAAAGAAUUAUGACGGUAUCUGAGGAAUAAGCAUCGGCUAACUCUGUGCCAGCAGCCGCGGUAAGACCGAGGAUGCAAGCGUUAUCCGGAAUGAUUGGGCGUAAAGCGUCUGUAGGUUGUUUAAAAAGUAUUCUGUCAAAGAUUAGGGCUUAACCCUAGAUAGGCAGAAUAAACUUUUAAGCUAGAGUUUGGUAGAGGCAGAGGGAAUUCCCGGUGGAGCGGUGAAAUGCGUAGAUAUCGGGAGGAACACCAAAGGCGAAGGCACUCUGCUGGGCCAAUACUAACACUGAGAGACGAAAGCGAGGGGAGCAAAUGGGAUUAGAAACCCGGGUAGUCC